CCCACCCUUUGCGUUAGGCCUCGAGUGACGGAAACAGAUCCAUCUAUUUAUCAUUCACUCUGGGGAAGCCAGCUGCCUGAUCAUAAGCAAUCCUAUGAAGAGGCCCAAGAAUUGAGAAACUGAGGCCUCUUGCCCAACAGCCAUGUGAGUGAUCUCAGAAGUGGAUCCUCCCAGCCCAUUCAAGCCUUUGGAUGACUGCAGCCCCAACUGACAGUUUGACUGUAAACUCAUGACAGACUGAACCAGAACCACCCAACUAAGCUGUUCCCAGAUUUCUGAUCCUGGGAAAUUGUAUUGGUCAUCAUGAUCACCAAACAGCCUUGUCUAAUGUUGGCAUUCUGUGAAAUUACUUGUGUUCAACAGAAGUACAUCACGGCCUCACUGCGAAGCCUAUUCAGCUCCUGGAUGUCAGAGACUGCUUUCCAAUUUCUCAGAAGUAGCGCAAGACAGUGAUUCACUGGCAGGCAAGAAAUCUGUAUCUCUAAUAAGAUACCUAUGUGAUUCUGAUUGAAGGACUCUAAGACCAUGCUUUAAUAACUAUUCCUAUGGUAAGAAGUAGGGCUGAAAAUGGAGGAGCAGAUUAUAAAUAUCCUUAAAACACAGACUCAUAGGUUUGAGCAUAAUUCUGCCAGCAAUAACAACCAUUAACGGCAUAUGAGCAAAGAAGAACCUUGCCAAGGAGGGUUCAGAAAGAGUUUCCUGUUGGUAACAAAUAGAAAGGUUAGAUACAGUCUAAGGAUGGAGGUGAGCCUGGGGA
Molecule: long non-coding RNA, 757 nt
Organism: Nomascus leucogenys (northern white-cheeked gibbon)
Lineage: Eukaryota; Metazoa; Chordata; Mammalia; Primates; Hylobatidae
Exons: 3
Source: RefSeq, a predicted model, not a curated record